GCCCCGUAGCUCAGUGGAUCGAGCAGGCGCCUUCUAAGCGCUUGGCCGCAGGUUCGAGUCCUGCCGGGGGCGCCA
RNAcentral lists this transfer RNA (75 nucleotides) under Streptomyces albidoflavus. Its description in RNAcentral is "tRNA-Arg". It matches the Rfam family "tRNA". Rfam says of the family: Transfer RNA (tRNA) molecules are approximately 80 nucleotides in length. Their secondary structure includes four short double-helical elements and three loops (D, anti-codon, and T loops). Lineage: Bacteria; Bacillati; Actinomycetota; Actinomycetes; Kitasatosporales; Streptomycetaceae. The record is from RNAcentral.